AGAGUUUGAUCCUGGCUCAGAACGAACGCUGGCGGCGUGCUUAACACAUGCAAGUCGAACGAGAAAGGUUCCUUCGGGGACCGAGUAAAGUGGCGCACGGGUGAGUAACGCGUAGAUAAUCUACCCUCUUGUCCGGGAUAACAUCGGGAAACCGGUGCUAAUACCGGAUAUCUUCAAUGCCUGCAGGGGCAUUGAGGAAAGGUGGCCUCUGAUUCAAGCUUCCGCAAGGGGACGAGUCUGCGUACCAUUAGCUUGUUGGUGGGGUAACGGCCUACCAAGGCGACGAUGGUUAGCGGGUCUGAGAGGAUGAUCCGCCACACUGGCACUGGAACACGGGCCAGACUCCUACGGGAGGCAGCAGUGAGGAAUAUUGCGCAAUGGGGGAAACCCUGACGCAGCGACGCCGCGUGAGUGAGGAAGGCCUUCGGGUCGUAAAGCUCUGUCAGGAGGGAAGAAGUGUUAUACGGUUAAUACCCGUAUAGCUUGACGGUACCUCCAGAGGAAGCACCGGCUAACUCCGUGCCAGCAGCCGCGGUAAUACGGAGGGUGCAAGCGUUGUUCGGAAUCACUGGGCGUAAAGGGCGCGCAGGCGGUUUGUUAAGUCAGAUGUGAAAGCCCACGGCUCAACCGUGGAAGUGCAUUUGAAACUGGCAGACUUGAGUACCAGAGGGGGAAGUGGAAUUCCCGGUGUAGAGGUGAAAUUCGUAGAUAUCGGGAGGAAUACCGGUGGCGAAGGCGACUUCCUGGCUGGAUACUGACGCUGAGGCGCGAAAGCGUGGGGAGCAAACAGGAUUAGAUACCCUGGUAGUCCACGCCGUAAACGAUGUCAACUAGGUGUUGGGGGUGUUGAUCCCCUCAGUGCCGCAGCUAACGCAUUAAGUUGACCGCCUGGGGAGUACGGUCGCAAGAUUAAAACUCAAAGGAAUUGACGGGGGCCCGCACAAGCGGUGGAGUAUGUGGUUUAAUUCGAUGCAACGCGAAGAACCUU
This 988-nucleotide ribosomal RNA is filed under the name uncultured delta proteobacterium. RNAcentral describes it as "bacterial SSU rRNA". It matches the Rfam family "Bacterial small subunit ribosomal RNA", at positions 8 to 972 of the family's 1533-position model. Lineage: Bacteria; Deltaproteobacteria. The record is from RNAcentral.